AAAUUGAAGAGUUUGAUCAUGGCUCAGAUUGAACGCUGGCGGCAGGCCUAACACAUGCAAGUCGAACGGUAACAGGAAUCAGCUUGCUGAUUCGCUGACGAGUGGCGGACGGGUGAGUAAUGUCUGGGAAACUGCCUGAUGGAGGGGGAUAACUACUGGAAACGGUAGCUAAUACCGCAUAAUGUCGCAAGACCAAAGAGGGGGACCUUCGGGCCUCUUGCCAUCGGAUGUGCCCAGAUGGGAUUAGCUAGUAGGUGGGGUAACGGCUCACCUAGGCGACGAUCCCUAGCUGGUCUGAGAGGAUGACCAGCCACACUGGAACUGAGACACGGUCCAGACUCCUACGGGAGGCAGCAGUGGGGAAUAUUGCACAAUGGGCGCAAGCCUGAUGCAGCCAUGCCGCGUGUAUGAAGAAGGCCUUCGGGUUGUAAAGUACUUUCAGCGGGGAGGAAGGGAGUAAAGUUAAUACCUUUGCUCAUUGACGUUACCCGCAGAAGAAGCACCGGCUAACUCCGUGCCAGCAGCCGCGGUAAUACGGAGGGUGCAAGCGUUAAUCGGAAUUACUGGGCGUAAAGCGCACGCAGGCGGUUUGUUAAGUCAGAUGUGAAAUCCCCGGGCUCAACCUGGGAACUGCAUCUGAUACUGGCAAGCUUGAGUCUCGUAGAGGGGGGUAGAAUUCCAGGUGUAGCGGUGAAAUGCGUAGAGAUCUGGAGGAAUACCGGUGGCGAAGGCGGCCCCCUGGACGAAGACUGACGCUCAGGUGCGAAAGCGUGGGGAGCAAACAGGAUUAGAUACCCUGGUAGUCCACGCCGUAAACGAUGUCGACUUGGAGGUUGUGCCCUUGAGGCGUGGCUUCCGGAGCUAACGCGUUAAGUCGACCGCCUGGGGAGUACGGCCGCAAGGUUAAAACUCAAAUGAAUUGACGGGGGCCCGCACAAGCGGUGGAGCAUGUGGUUUAAUUCGAUGCAACGCGAAGAACCUUACCUGGUCUUGACAUCCACAGAACUUUCCAGAGAUGGAUUGGUGCCUUCGGGAACUGUGAGACAGGUGCUGCAUGGCUGUCGUCAGCUCGUGUUGUGAAAUGUUGGGUUAAGUCCCGCAACGAGCGCAACCCUUAUCCUUUGUUGCCAGCGGUCCGGCCGGGAACUCAAAGGAGACUGCCAGUGAUAAACUGGAGGAAGGUGGGGAUGACGUCAAGUCAUCAUGGCCCUUACGACCAGGGCUACACACGUGCUACAAUGGCGCAUACAAAGAGAAGCGACCUCGCGAGAGCAAGCGGACCUCAUAAAGUGCGUCGUAGUCCGGAUUGGAGUCUGCAACUCGACUCCAUGAAGUCGGAAUCGCUAGUAAUCGUGGAUCAGAAUGCCACGGUGAAUACGUUCCCGGGCCUUGUACACACCGCCCGUCACACCAUGGGAGUGGGUUGCAAAAGAAGUAGGUAGCUUAACCUUCGGGAGGGCGCUUACCACUUUGUGAUUCAUGACUGGGGUGAAGUCGUAACAAGGUAACCGUAGGGGAACCUGCGGUUGGAUCACCUCCUUACCUUAAAGAAGC
This 1554-nucleotide ribosomal RNA is filed under the name Escherichia coli. Its description in RNAcentral is "bacterial SSU rRNA". It matches the Rfam family "Bacterial small subunit ribosomal RNA". The record is from RNAcentral. Lineage: Bacteria; Pseudomonadati; Pseudomonadota; Gammaproteobacteria; Enterobacterales; Enterobacteriaceae.